This 253-nucleotide ribosomal RNA is filed under the name uncultured bacterium. Its description in RNAcentral is "partial 16S ribosomal RNA". It matches the Rfam family "Bacterial small subunit ribosomal RNA", at positions 524 to 776 of the family's 1533-position model. The record is from RNAcentral.
GACGUAGGGCGCGAGCGUUGUCCGGAUUUAUUGGGCGUAAAGAGCUCGUAGGCGGCUUGUCGCGUCGACUGUGAAAACUCGGGGCUCAACUCCGAGCUUGCAGUCGAUACGGGCAGGCUAGAGUUCGGUAGGGGAGACUAGAAUUCCUGGUGUAGCGGUGAAAUGCGCAGAUAUCAGGAGGAACACCGGUGGCGAAGGCGGGUCUCUGGGCCGAUACUGACGCUGAGGAGCGAAAGCGUGGGGAGCGAACAGG